Molecule: ribosomal RNA, 1431 nt
Filed under: Triticum aestivum (bread wheat)
Lineage: Eukaryota; Viridiplantae; Streptophyta; Magnoliopsida; Poales; Poaceae
Description: partial small subunit ribosomal RNA
Source: RNAcentral
AUGCCGCAGAAGAAGCGCCCCCGCCGUAGGAGGUCUCCUCGCGAAGGAUCCUCCCGCCGGCGCCGUGGUGAAGAUGGCGCAUCCUUGUCUGGAUCCCUUGGCCAAUCGGAUGGGAGCAGCAGCAGCAGCGGCGCGAGUUCCGGCGCGCGGGCGCCGGAAUCCCUCGCCCAGCCGUCGGACACCCGGCCGGCUCGCAAGUACGAGUCCAGGUACCAUGAGAUGCUCGCCUCGUGCCUCGCCGUGCUGCCUCUACCAGCCUACGCCGACGGCGAAGGCCCAGAUCUCCCUUCUGCUGAAACUUUCGAAGCCCUCGUUCGUCCUUAUUUCUAUGAUGACGAGCUGCGGGCUGCUCUGGUAGAGUACCAAGUCCACAAGUUCUUGAGCCGACCAGAGGAUGUCCAUGGACGAGAUGGAGAUUCAGGAGAAGUUGAUUCGUCCUCCUCACUGAUGGAUGAUAUCCCCGAGGAGGAAUUCGAGGCAGACGAUGCACGGCUCAGGUCUCACAUAGUACAUGAAGUUGACACCGAGGAUAGAUUGGAUGAAGAGGAGGCGAACAGGCUCUGUCACAAGUACGCACGAUACCGCCUCAAAGCUUGCAUGUUGCUCAAAGGAGUGCCUAUUGACGAUGCUGCAUUCGACUCCCAGUACCCUCCAGACCUUCCCUUGGACAACCACCGUCUUUACCAUGAAGAUGAAGCCUUGGGCUGGUGGUUUGACUUGGGCACCUCUUCACCCGCGACCUUGAGCGACUAUCAGCGGCUAGUCCCUUGUAAUGAAGGGGGCGUUGAGUAUGAAAGUUGGAAUGAAUACCGAGAGUUUUAUAGCACCCCUGAAACUGAUAGAGAUUAUCUGCUCUACUGGGAAACGAUUGUGAAGGAUCUUAAGUGGAUUGAAGAACAUGCGCUUAAAGGCUAUAUGGAGGUACACACCUAUACGACCUCUCAAAACAAUUGGCAUGAAUUGCGUGCAAAAGCUUGGCGCCAAGCAGUUAGGAUUGCUACUAGGUUCGAAAACAUUCCUCUGGGGCUAGCAUAUUAUGGUUUCCAGGAGUAUACAACGAGCAAUUAUCUCGAGUCCGUGAAAGAUCUUGACUCUGUGUUUUUUGAGAUUUGGAAGCUGGUCAAUGGGUCUGAUCAGAUGUCUUUGAGAGAUGCUAUGAAGCAUGUGUAUGAGGAGAACCUGUUUCCAUUACGCAAACGUGAUUUGGAGCACGAGCUGAGUCAACCUGUCUCGUUGGGAUUGGAGAAAAAAUUUCGACGGUGCACAGCGGGCGUCAAUAAGGAAGUUCCAGAGUGGCUAGCGCGUGUGUUAAUUUCGCAGGAAGUUAGUUUCAAGUGUGAUCUGCCAAGGAGGUAUGUGCAUUAUGCCAGGAAGAAGCUCAAGAUUGCAGAAAUCAUAGGUUUGAUUCCCAUAUCCAAGAUACCAGCCUAG